Gallus gallus (chicken) is the source of this 2935-nucleotide long non-coding RNA. RefSeq lists it as uncharacterized. The record is from RefSeq and is a predicted model, not a curated record. Lineage: Eukaryota; Metazoa; Chordata; Aves; Galliformes; Phasianidae. The transcript is spliced from 3 exons.
GAGGGGAGGGGCUGCGUCCAGAGCAGAGCGGCCUCAGGCAGAAAUACUCCUCGUUGCUGCAACAUCAGUAACGAUUUGUGAAUCUAGCUAUGUUGACGACUCUGUUGAAAUCAGAGCAGCUAACUGAUAAGAUUAAACGUGUGCUCACUCCUGAUCGGUGCAGCCUGUGUGACCGUACAAGAUCUGGAAACUUCUGUGACGCAAAAUGUGUUGAAGGAGGCCAGCCAGCUGACUUGUGUACCACAACAUCUCCUGCAACACAGCUGGUGGUAGGAGCAAUUGGAUGUAUUCUGUACAGAAAGAGGAAGCGAUCAACCUUGCAAAAAAUGAUCAGAGAGCUCUAUGAGCAGCCUGCAGACAAUCUGCUUAAAGUUGAUCUUCCUCCUGUCUGGGUAAAGUCGACAUCAAAAGAGACUCUUCCUUAACCUCACCAAGAAACGUGGUCUCAUUAUUUGUCUGUCCAGGUAAGAUAUUUGGUUAUGUAUUUAAAAUCCCUGUUCUAAUGAGCUGCAAAUUCUUCUGAGACCAAACACUUUAGCCUUUGCUUUUGCUUUUCAAGCUCUUCCCAGAAUUAGUAUUUCCUUGUUAUUGCAUCUCCUGGGACGCUCAGUGACUGAGUAUACACUCUUUAUAUUGGUACUGCUGUACAUCUGAUUUAUAUCUGAUUUGCAUAAGCUUUUUUUUUUGGUUUUUUUUUUUUGUUUGUUUUUUGAGUGCUGCUCAUGGCAAGACACUCUCCCAAGUGUUAGGGAGCAGCACAGGGCUCAAGGUCCUAAAGGACAGCACAGGGCAUCAGGGGAAUGGAAAUUCACUGAGGUCUGAGCACUACACCCUUCAGAGCUAGCUGCUUCAUGGAUCAUACGGAGAUAGGCAAAAAUAACAUCUCUGCAGACGCCACUCAUCUCUGUAGUACCAGAUAUAAAUUAUGACAGUAAUAAGUCAAUAGAAUCUGAACUGAAAUCCCACUUUAGUCUUCAAUGCUAUAUCUGCUUAUAGAAGUGCACCUAUUACUCUGCUAGAAUAUUCAAAAUGAGAACCUGACUUAGAACAAAAAUGGUAAUGCAUGUUUAGUAUCACUUAGCUCAGGGUAGGCUGCUACAGUAGUAAGGAGAGCCAGAGAAUAUUCAGCAAUGCAAAAAUAAUAGAAUGUUGGAAAAAGUCUUGGUUGAAAGCUACUGAGAAUAAAGAAAUUUUCAGAACAGCCAGAGAAUUUGAACAAAGUCAUUUCCAAUACAAUAUUUAAUAAAUAUCAUACCAGGAGUUACAAAGUGCAGAAGCAAACACAAAAUGCUUCUAUUGCUAUAUAUGAGAUAAUUGUUUAUGCUCAGGUGUCCCAUAAUCUUCACUAUUUGACUAAUUUAGCAGCCUGUGGUUUUUUAGGUCAGAAUUCUCCACUGAUCAUUACAGUUUGAAUGUCUUAGAGAAAUGCUGUUGCACUGAGAAGGAUUAGUCCCACUGGCUGCAGAAGACCCAACCAUGGUGGACUGACCUGUCAGUAAUGGAUGUGAAUUGGAAUGUACACAGAUUCUGUGGUGACACAGGUCCGUGGCCAAUUGGAGCCAGAUGUCAUGAGAUGGUUGAUAGGGGCCCAAAGUAUCCCUUUAUGCAGGAGGGACAGAUUUGGAAGAUCAUUUACUUGAGGUGCUUUUGGAUUGCUUAAGAAAAGGAAGAAUUUGGUUCCAAUAUAUAGGAAUUGUCAAAGGAGAGAAAAAAGAAGAAACAGUUAGUUCCUGACUAGGAAUAAUACACAACUCAGGGAAUAUCUGAGCUACUACUUCCUCCAGUGGAAAAAAAAAUAUUGCCCUGAAUAAUUAUUCUUGCUUUACCAGAGUAAAUUCACUGGAAAAUUUUAAAGCUUCAACAAGCGGAUAUGUGGGUCAAAUCUAUUUUUGCCAGUCACAGAACACAUUUCUCUUAGUAGGCUGCAAUUGAAUAGGCAGAAAUUUGUUCAUUCUGUAGUGUGAUCACCUGUGUGGUCUUUGGCAAUUUUUAAUCCCCAAAACACCAGAUCAGUGGAAAAUUGGGGAAAAAAACCCGCUGAUGACAGAAUAAUAAAACACCUUCAGAAAAAGGUUGUGUCACCAGAUACUACUUCUACUUAAUGUUCUGCAAUUGUAGGUGAGCACUGAGAAAGCAGCUGGCACCUUCAGACAUCUGAGUUGGUGUCAAAUUGAGAACGUGAACAUUUGUACAGUGGGAGCUCACACAGGGUGAAAGAGGAAAAGGGGGAAAGCUAAAUGAAGGAGCAGUGAGAUUUGGUGUUCUGCUGCCACUGCAGGAACAUGCUACAGUGGACUGUGAGGAUUUGAUCACAGUUAUGGAGCCAAGAAGAUGUAUUCACAACUGUUAAACAGAUGUAUAUACUGUCAUGUUUUGGGGCUGUAAGGUGAAAUUUUAUAGCAAGGAGUUAAAAUAGUAGAUAGUAUGUGAGGAGGUUCAAAUGGUUUUUAAGCUCCAUAAACCUUGUUUUUCAGGUAGAAUUUAGUGAGCGUUGAGAGGUGCAAAGAAAACAGGAUUUGAAACUAGAACUAGGUUUUUGUUUUAACAGGUACAGGAGAUGCUACCAAAGCUGACACAGUUACCUUCUGCAAGUUAGUAACUUUGCUGGAAGUGUUAAGGUGUUUGGUAGCAUCUCUCGAUCACAACAUAUCAGUUCUAACAAGACAGAUUGAAGACUUGGCAGAUUUUAAUGGUGACGUCUGAGGAGGAGAGCUGAGAAAGUUAAGUGUUGCCAUGAGCUCACAAGCUUCCUCAGAAGGGCAAAACAUAGGGUCAGAGGGGAAAGGUUCAUCUUGUCAUCACUGCUUUCUAACAUGUAGCCACUUCCUGUUGCUUCUGAGAACAGUGAAUAAUAAAUGAACUUGAAUUUGGGCAAAGCUUCAAGAUUUUUAUUGAAUGGUAUGUAACUAAUAAACAAGAUUAUAUACUGUCUGUA